GUGUGUGUGUGUGUGUGUGUGUGUGUGUGUGUGUGUGUGCACGAUUUCAGUGGGAGGCUCCUCUCAAUAAAAGGGGUGGGCUACUUCUACAGAAAUACCCCAGAGGCUGAGGAGGGCAGGGGAGACAUGGCUGGUGAGGACUUAGGAGAGAGUGAUACUAGACAGGCGUGGGAAGAUGAGGAGGAGGUUUGAGACGGCCAGGGGAAAGCGAGGGGUGGGGCUGGCCCAGCUUUGGUUUUGUUUUGUUUUGUUUUUUUUUUCCGAGACAGGGUUUCUCUGUGUAGCCUUGCCUGUCCUGGAACUCACUCUGUAGACCAGGCUGGCCUCGAACUCACAGAGAUCCACCUGCCUCUGCCUCCCGAGUGCUGGGAUUAAAGGGGUGUGCCACCACCGCCUGACUAUGCCCAGCAUCUCAAUAUCCCUGGGUCUGUCACUAUCACUAGGAAGGAAAGAGACAAGGGUCACCAUGCCCAUCUCCCCAGCACACUGGGGAGGCUGAGGCAGGAGCAUUAGCCUACACUAGUAACAAGACCAUAUCUCCAAAACAAGAAGAAAAAAAUAAAGGGAAGGGAAGGAAUGUGAGCUGUAAGGAAGGAGAGGGAGAGAAAUUGAAGCUGUGAGCUGACAGCCGUCAUGUAUUUCAAGGCCUUGGUGACAGGGUCACCACCACCUCCAGAGCUGUCCUAUUGCUGUGACUUAGUGUGUGUACACGUGUGUUUAUGAGACAUGCAUGGCUUGCAUGACUCUUCCACAUAUGCAGAAUGUACAUUGAGAAUAAAACUGGAGGGCUCCCGCAGUGAUGCCCGCGACACUGCUGGUGGUCUGGAGCGUGCUUUGUUAGGACAGUGCUGUCAUAGCCGAGGUCUCACGGGAGAAGGCGCCUGUCUCUGUUCGGGAUGCGACUGUGUGUGCCCACAGGACCAGAGGACAGCUUAGCACUCAGGCCUUGCCUUCUGCCUUGAGAUUUUUUGUUCACCCCGAAUUCCUCAGGUUAGCUGUUCAACAAGCUUCAGGGAGUCUCUGGUUUCCACCCCCACCUUGCCACAGGAAUGCUGCUCUGUCCUCCUUGUGUGGGUCCUGAGGACUGGAGCUCAGACCCUCAUGACUACAGCAAGCAGGGCUAGUGUGUGUGUGGUAUGGACACACAAGAUUUCCAAGGCGUGUCUGGAGUUUCCUUGCCUCUUGGGACAGACUCCCACACGGACCCUGACAAGGGGCUGUGGGAGCUUGUGAGGUUCUGUGGGAAUCAGGAGGCGCAGAAAGAGACAGUUCUGGAAAACCAAGGCUCUGCUCUGGGGCUUCAGAGUGACUUCAGGGUGGAGGGCAGCCUCAGGUGGUCCCGCCCAGACCGGGGCACAGGUUCCUGUGGCCGAUGCCUCUGCUGCCAAGCAUGGUGGAGCAUGGCUAACGACUCAGAGGCAGAGGCGGGCGGCCAGCUCUAUGCAGGAAUUCCAAGUCAGCUGGACUGUAUAUCCCAGAUGUGUAAAUAAACACAAGGAGCAUUUUGUUACUGGCAGA
Non-coding RNA from Peromyscus maniculatus bairdii (prairie deer mouse), 1518 nucleotides. The record is from RefSeq and is a predicted model, not a curated record. NCBI's taxonomy places the organism in Eukaryota, Metazoa, Chordata, Mammalia, Rodentia, Cricetidae.